GCCCUACGGGGCGCAGCAGGCGCGAAACCUCUGCAAUGCGGGAAACCGUGACAGGGGGAUCCCAAGUGCUCAUGCAUUGCAUGGGCUGUUCUUUGGUCUAAGUAACCAGAGGAGUAAGGGCUGGGCAAGACCGGUGCCAGCCGCCGCGGUAAUACCGGCAGCUCAAGUGGUAGCCGCGAUUAUUGGGCCUAAAACGUUCGUAGCCGGAUAAGUAAGUCUUUGGUUAAAUCCUGCGACUCAACCGUGGGAAUUCUAGAGAUACUGCUCGUCUUGAGACCGGGAGAGGUUGGAGGUACUCCUAGGGUAGGGGUGAAAUCCUGUAAUCCUAGGGGGACCACCUGUGGCGAAGGCGUCCAACUGGAACGGGUCUGACGGUGAGGGACGAAACCUAGGGGAGCGAGCCGGAUUAGAUACCCGGGUAGUCCUAGGCGUAAAUGAUGCGAGUUAAGUGUGGGGGCAUCUACGAGAUGGCCCUGUGCUGUAGGGUAGCCGUUAAACUCGCUGCCUGGGGAGUACGGUCGCAAGGCUGAAACUUAAAGGAAUUGGCGGGGGAGCACCACAAGAGGUGGAGGCUGCGGUUCAAUUGGACUCAACGCCGGAAAACUCAUCG
This 610-nucleotide ribosomal RNA is filed under the name uncultured archaeon. RNAcentral's name for it is "bacterial SSU rRNA". It matches the Rfam family "Archaeal small subunit ribosomal RNA", at positions 320 to 932 of the family's 1478-position model. The record is from RNAcentral.